Molecule: ribosomal RNA, 253 nt
Filed under: uncultured bacterium
Lineage: Bacteria
Description: partial 16S ribosomal RNA
Rfam family: Bacterial small subunit ribosomal RNA
Source: RNAcentral
UACGGGGGGGGUAAGCGUUGUUCGGAAUUACUGGGCGUAAAGGGCUCGUAGGCGGCCAACUAAGUCACACGUGAAAUCCCUCAGCUUAACUGGGGAACUGCGUGUGAUACUGGAUGGCUUGGAUCCGGGAGAGGGAUGCGGAAUUCCAGGUGUAGCGGUGAAAUGCGUAGAUAUCUGGAGGAACACCCGUGGCGAAGGCGGCUCUCUGGGACGGUACUGACGCUGAGACGCGAAAGCGUGGGGAGCGAACAGG